Molecule: long non-coding RNA, 481 nt
Filed under: Marmota monax (woodchuck)
Lineage: Eukaryota; Metazoa; Chordata; Mammalia; Rodentia; Sciuridae
Source: RNAcentral
GGCUGAUUUAAUUGAUGGCUAAGCCAAGACCAGACCAAGAUCCCACACAGUUCUCUGAUGCUGAGUGAAGUUAUAGGGUCUUCAGAGAUGCUGGUGAUUGGACUGAGGAAUAUAAGAGGCUUGUUUAGGGAAGGGAAACAUCAGAUUCAAGAGGCCGAGGUGCUUUGUGCUCCAGCAUGUUUGUAACAACUGUGUGACUAAGGGAUUUGAGGAAGUGGAAGAAGAGAUUUAUGGCCUUCCAACUCCCUGCCUUGGUGCUGACCCAGGAACAGGUGUGUAGUGACAGGAAUGGAUAAAACUAGAGAUGAGGCUGAACAGGUGGUGGGGCCACUUGGUGAGGCAGUCAGCUGACCAACUGAGUCAGUAAAAGGAGUCCUGACUCGCUGAGGAGUGAGGGGAGCAGAGCAGCCAGCCCACCCAUCCUGGUUGAUGGCAGGGAAGAGUCCAGGGCCAGGGACCUGGUAAGCAACCCUUAGGGAUA